RNAcentral lists this ribosomal RNA (575 nucleotides) under Aspergillus carbonarius. RNAcentral describes it as "eukaryotic LSU rRNA". It matches the Rfam family "Eukaryotic large subunit ribosomal RNA", at positions 58 to 648 of the family's 3401-position model. The record is from RNAcentral. Lineage: Eukaryota; Fungi; Ascomycota; Eurotiomycetes; Eurotiales; Aspergillaceae.
AAAGAAACCAACCGGGAUUGCCUCAGUAACGGCGAGUGAAGCGGCAAGAGCUCAAAUUUGAAAGCUGGCUCCUUCGGAGUCCGCAUUGUAAUUUGCAGAGGAUGCUUUGGGUGCGGCCCCCGUCUAAGUGCCCUGGAACGGGCCGUCAGAGAGGGUGAGAAUCCCGUCUUGGGCGGGGUGUCCGUGCCCGUGUAAAGCUCCUUCGACGAGUCGAGUUGUUUGGGAAUGCAGCUCUAAAUGGGUGGUAAAUUUCAUCUAAAGCUAAAUACUGGCCGGAGACCGAUAGCGCACAAGUAGAGUGAUCGAAAGAUGAAAAGCACUUUGAAAAGAGAGUUAAACAGCACGUGAAAUUGUUGAAAGGGAAGCGCUUGCAACCAGACUCGCCCGCGGGGUUCAGCCGGCAUUCGUGCCGGUGUACUUCCCCGUGGGCGGGCCAGCGUCGGUUUGGGCGGCCGGUCAAAGGCCCCUGGAAUGUAGUGCCCUCCGGGGCACCUUAUAGCCAGGGGUGCAAUGCGGCCAGCCUAGACCGAGGAACGCGCUUCGGCUCGGACGCUGGCAUAAUGGUUGUAAACGAC